This 500-nucleotide ribosomal RNA is filed under the name uncultured bacterium. Its description in RNAcentral is "partial 16S ribosomal RNA". It matches the Rfam family "Bacterial small subunit ribosomal RNA", at positions 30 to 523 of the family's 1533-position model. The record is from RNAcentral.
AUUGAACGCUGGCGGAAUGCUUUACACAUGCAAGUCGAACGGCAGCGCGGACUUCGGUCUGGUGGCGAGUGGCGAACGGGUGAGUAAUGUAUCGGAACGUGCCCAGUCGUGGGGGAUAACGUAGUGAAAAUUACGCUAAUACCGCAUACGAUCUAUGGAUGAAAGCGGGGGAUCGCAAGACCUCGCGCGAUUGGAGCGGCCGAUAUCAGAUUAGGUAGUUGGUGGAGUAAAGGCCCACCAAGCCAACGAUCUGUAGCUGGUCUGAGAGGACGACCAGCCAAACGGGAACUGAGACACAGUCCAGACUCCUACGGGAGGCAGCAGUGGGGAAUUUUGGACAAUGGGCGAAAGCCUGAUCCAGCCAUUCCGCGUGCAGGAUGAAGGCCCUCGGGUUGUAAACUGCUUUUGUACAGAACGAAAAGGUUUCUACUAAUACUAGGAGCUCAUGACGGUACUGUAAGAAUAAGCACCGGCUAACUACGUGCCAGCCGCCGCUGUAA